Molecule: unclassified non-coding RNA, 249 nt
Filed under: uncultured fungus
Lineage: Eukaryota; Fungi
Description: partial contains 5.8S ribosomal RNA, internal transcribed spacer 2, and large subunit ribosomal RNA
Source: RNAcentral
AACGCACAUUGCGCCCCUUGGUAUUCCAUGGGGCAUGCCUGUUCGAGCGUCAUUUGUACCUUCAAGCUCUGCUUGGUGUUGGGUGUUUGUCCUUGCCUCUCUGGGGUAGGACUCGCCUUAAAGUAAUUGGCAGCCAGUAUUUUGGUUUGAAGCGCAGCACAAGUCGCGGUUCAAGCUUAAAUGAUGACUUCCAUUAAGUUAUAUAUCACUUUUGACCUCGGAUCAGGUAGGGAUACCCGCUGAACUUAA